This is a non-coding RNA of Lolium perenne, 1097 nucleotides long. The record is from RefSeq and is a predicted model, not a curated record. Lineage: Eukaryota; Viridiplantae; Streptophyta; Magnoliopsida; Poales; Poaceae.
AAAUAAUUAUAACCUUCCAUGGCCAAGAGGCUGAGCGAGAGGGUGGGGAGAAGGAUGGGGUGGUGGCGGACGAGGAUGUGUCGAGGAUAUGGGCGCAGAUGCGCACCUGGUACUGUGUGUGGCCAGUGAUAGGGCUUUAGCUGAAUCCCACUAGCCUUGACAACUUCUUGGUUUGCCGAUCCACAGGCACCACACCAUCUAGAUCUGCCCCUGUAUUUCCUGCUUUGAGAUAAGAUAAUUAUGCUACUGUGAGCUCUUGUUGGGGCCUGUCCUUGUUUAUGAUAGAUUGGGAAUCACAUAGUGCUUCAGUGUAUAGAGUAGCUGUUUUUUUUUCCGUAAUCAUUUCAGUAUGAGAUUAUGGGAUGAUCUACCAGUGCUCCGAAAAGAAUCAUUUCAGGUUACAGUCUUGUAUGUAUACAUAUCGAGUUCUCUGUAGUUGCAGCAUGUCCACACUUAAGUAGUCAUGUUACUUUAUAUGAGUCUCAAUUUUCUGAUAACCGUUUUACCCUACACACAUUUCAGCCUUGGAAGAACUUCUAUUGUUGCAAUGGAGGCCAAAAUUUUCCAGUUUCUCAAUCUUGUUGGAGUCGGCUUUAAAGCAAGAACAGAACGCAAAGUCUGUGAGCAAUUUCUGAAAGUAGGCUACAACCAGGAGUUCAAGAGGCUCUUAAUAUGAAUGAAUCUGAAAUGCAUGGUCGUCAGAUCAAGGUUUCAGCAAAGAGUACCAAUGUCCCUCGGAUGAAGCAGCAUCCACCACGCGGAGCAUUUAAUCCAUACCAUGGAUACCCUUAUAGAUCAUAUGGGUUACCGUAUUUUCCACCUUACGGUGGUUAUGGGAGAGUUUCCAGAUUUCGUCGGCCAACCCGCUAGAGGCCUUACUACUGAAGUAUGACGUUUCAUGAAUAGCUAUACCAACCAUAGUCGAUGUGCGGAAUAAUUAGUCUACAUGCCGUUUAGAUAAAUUUAUGUGCAGCCAUGGCCAACUUAGCUUCUUCAGUGGUAACUAAAUGCAAUCUGGCAGCUAAGUUAGUUAUGUUGGUUGAUUCAGAAUACUCUUUAUCCUAGUUUUUUAAUUGUUUAAUUUACAUUCUGGUUUU